RNAcentral lists this ribosomal RNA (172 nucleotides) under uncultured Streptococcus sp. RNAcentral describes it as "partial 16S ribosomal RNA". It matches the Rfam family "Bacterial small subunit ribosomal RNA", at positions 1211 to 1382 of the family's 1533-position model. The record is from RNAcentral. Lineage: Bacteria; Bacillati; Bacillota; Bacilli; Lactobacillales; Streptococcaceae.
GGGCUACACACGUGCUACAAUGGCUGGUACAACGAGUUGCGAGUCGGUGACGGCGAGCUAAUCUCUUAAAGCCAAUCUCAGUUCGGAUUGUAGGCUGCAACUCGCCUACAUGAAGUCGGAAUCGCUAGUAAUCGCGGAUCAGCACGCCGCGGUGAAUACGUUCCCGGGCCUU